CCUACGGGUGGCUGCAGUAGGGAAUAUUGGUCAAUGGACGAAAGUCUGAACCAGCCAUGCCGCGUGAAGGAUGAAGGCCCUCUGGGUUGUAAACUUCUUUUAUACGGGAAUAAACCUCUGAUCGUGAUCGGAGCUGAAGGUACCGUGUGAAUAAGGAUCGGCUAACUCCGUGCCAGCAGCCGCGGUAAUACGGAGGAUCCUAGCGUUGUCCGGAUUUAUUGGGUUUAAAGGGUGCGUAGGCGGACUACUAAGUCAGAGGUGAAAGCCGGCAGCUU
Molecule: ribosomal RNA, 275 nt
Filed under: uncultured bacterium
Lineage: Bacteria
Description: partial 16S ribosomal RNA
Rfam family: Bacterial small subunit ribosomal RNA
Source: RNAcentral